UGCGAGCGUUAAUCGGAAUUACUGGGCGUAAAGCGUCUGUAUGUGGUUUGUUAAGUCAGAUGUGAAAUCCCGGGGCUCAACCUUGGAACUGCAUUUGAUACUGCUAAACUAGAGUCUUGUAGAGGGUGGUAGAAUUUCCGGUGUAGCGGUGAAAUGCGUAGAGAUCUGAAGGAAUACCCGUGGCGAAGGCGGCCCCCUGGACAGAUACUGACACUCAGAUGCGAAAGCGUGGGGAGCAAACAGGAUUAGAUACCCUGGUAGUCCACGCCGUAAACGAUGUCUACUUGGAGGUUGUGGCCUUGAGCCGUGGCUUUCGGAGCUAACGCGUUAAGUAGACCGCCUGGGGAGUACGGUCGCAAGAUUAAAACUCAAAUGAAUUGACGG
RNAcentral lists this ribosomal RNA (384 nucleotides) under uncultured bacterium. RNAcentral's name for it is "bacterial SSU rRNA". It matches the Rfam family "Bacterial small subunit ribosomal RNA", at positions 533 to 916 of the family's 1533-position model. The record is from RNAcentral.